CAAUAGCGUGUAUUAAAGUUGUUGCGGUUAAAAGCUCGUAGUUGGAUUUCUGCUGAGGACGACCGGUCCGCCCUCUGGGUGAGUAUCUGGCUCGGCCUUGGCAUCUUCUUGGGGAAUGUAACUGCACUUGACUGUGUGGUGCGGUAUCCAGGACUUUUACUUUGAGGAAAUUAGAGUGUUUCAAGCAGGCGCACGCCUUGAAUACAUUAGCAUGGAAUAAUAAGAUAGGACCUUGGUUCUAUUUUGUUGGUUUCUUGGGGCGAGGUAAAGGUGAAUAGGGAUUGUUGGGGGCAUUCGUAUUUAACUGUCAGAGGUGAAAUUCUUGGAUUUGUUGAAGACGGACUACUGCGAAAGCAUCUGCCAAAGAUGUUCUCAUUGAUCAAGAACGAAAGUUAGGUGAUCGAAGACGAUUAGAUACCGU
Molecule: ribosomal RNA, 421 nt
Filed under: uncultured eukaryote
Lineage: Eukaryota
Description: SSU rRNA
Rfam family: Eukaryotic small subunit ribosomal RNA
Source: RNAcentral